RNAcentral lists this ribosomal RNA (425 nucleotides) under uncultured bacterium. RNAcentral describes it as "partial 16S ribosomal RNA". It matches the Rfam family "Bacterial small subunit ribosomal RNA", at positions 354 to 796 of the family's 1533-position model. The record is from RNAcentral.
GUGGGGAAUCUUGCGCAAUGGGCGAAAGCCUGACGCAGCCAUGCCGCGUGGAUGAUGAAGGUCUUAGGAUUGUAAAAUCCUUUCACCGGUGAAGAUAAUGACUGUAGCCGGAGAAGAAGCCCCGGCUAACUUCGUGCCAGCAGCCGCGGUAAUACGAAGGGGGCUAGCGUUGCUCGGAAUUACUGGGCGUAAAGGGAGCGUAGGCGGACAUUUAAGUCAGGGGUGAAAUCCCGAGGCUCAACCUCGGAACUGCCUUUGAUACUGGGUGUCUUGCGUGUGAGAGAGGUGAGUGGAACUCCGAGUGUAGAGGUGAAAUUCGUAGAUAUUCGGAAGAACACCAGUGGCGAAGGCGAGUCACUGGCCCGUUACUGACGCUGAGGCGCGAAAGCGUGGGGAGCAAACAGGAUUAGAUACCCCAGUAGUCC